This is a long non-coding RNA of Brienomyrus brachyistius, 574 nucleotides long. RefSeq lists it as uncharacterized. Lineage: Eukaryota; Metazoa; Chordata; Actinopteri; Osteoglossiformes; Mormyridae. The transcript is spliced from 2 exons. The record is from RefSeq and is a predicted model, not a curated record.
UCACUCUGCCGGGAAGGCGAUCGGCAGCAACCUUCCGUUGUUACAGGACCUGUACGAUUCCAGGACCUUGAAAAGAGCAGGAAGGAUUAUGGCUGAUUCCUCUCACCCUGGUCACAAACUCCUUCGGACUCUCCCCUCUGGCAGAAGGUUGUGGUCCAUUGAGACCAAAACAUCACGAUGUAUAGACAGUUUCUUCCCCACCGCAGCCCGCCUCAUCAAUAAGAAACACUGGAAGUUUCACCAGCUUCACUUGCUGCAAGAAUUCAAAGAAUCUAUAGGAGUAGGAAGAACAAUGGCUUCCUUGAAUCAAUGUACAAGUGUUUGCAAGGAUAUCUCAUUCAGGAAGUCUAUAAUGGCUUAAAGGAAACUGUUCUGGAGAGGAAGAAAAAUUAAGUGAUAUAAUGGCUUCUUCUGUAGCUUUCUGAAAUAAACCAUUCGGCACCAGUCAGAAUAGAACAGGAAAUGCUUCAAGAGGACGUGGAAUAUAACAAUAUUAAUCUAAGGACUGCUAACAUGCUGCCACAGCUGAAGCUAUGAAAAACUUGAAUAAAUGAAACAUUUGUUGACGUCUCAA